CGUGUAGGCGGCUAUUCAAGUCAGGGGUGAAAGGCCUGGGCUCAACCUGGGAACUGCCUUUGAAACUGAAUGGCUUGAGACCGGAAGAGGAUGGCGGAAUUCCCAGUGUAGAGGUGAAAUUCGUAGAUAUUGGGAAGAACACCGGUGGCGAAGGCGGCCAUCUGGUCCGGUUCUGACGCUGAGGCGCGAAAGCGUGGGGAGCAAACA
RNAcentral lists this ribosomal RNA (207 nucleotides) under uncultured bacterium. RNAcentral describes it as "partial 16S ribosomal RNA". It matches the Rfam family "Bacterial small subunit ribosomal RNA", at positions 568 to 774 of the family's 1533-position model. The record is from RNAcentral.